Molecule: ribosomal RNA, 253 nt
Filed under: uncultured bacterium
Lineage: Bacteria
Description: partial 16S ribosomal RNA
Rfam family: Bacterial small subunit ribosomal RNA
Source: RNAcentral
UACGUAGGGUGCGAGCGUUAAUCGGAAUUACUGGGCGUAAAGGGCGCGUAGGCGGCACGGCAAGUCAGGAGUGAAAGCCCUGGGCUCAACCCGGGAACUGCUUUUGAAACUGCCGAGCUAGAGUGCGGAAGGGGCAACUGGAAUUCCCAGUGUAGAGGUGAAAUUCGUAGAUAUUGGGAAGAACACCGGUGGCGAAGGCGGCGCUCUGGACCGAGACUGACGCUGAGGCGCGAAAGCGUGGGGAGCAAACAGG